RNAcentral lists this ribosomal RNA (216 nucleotides) under Triticum aestivum (bread wheat). RNAcentral describes it as "partial small subunit ribosomal RNA". The record is from RNAcentral. Lineage: Eukaryota; Viridiplantae; Streptophyta; Magnoliopsida; Poales; Poaceae.
AUGAGGACCCUUUGCUGAAACUGCCGCGGAAUUGGCAAUCCCGCGACGGUUCGUGAGCUCCGCGAUCUCGUGGAGGCGUGUGCGCCGAUGGUACUCUGUAUUGUUGAAACACAAAUUGCAAAGUACCGGGUGGAAGGCUUGGAUGGUAGUUUAGGGUUUACUGGUAGUUUUGGUGUUGCGAGUAGCGGACGUAAUGGAGGUUUAUGCAUGUACUAG